UCCACCGGUUUCCCUUCACUAUCAACACCGCGAAUCAGUCCUUCACCACAGCCAGCCGUUUUCGUUUUCUUGCCAUUAGCGAGCACCACGUCCGCUCCGGCGCGCUCCACCAGCGAGGUGAAAAAGCUCUUAUCACUACUCAUGUGGCAUGAAGCUCCGCUAUCUAGAAUCCACUCGUUUUUCACAGCUUGCCCCGCGACAAAACACAACGGUUCACUCGACUUUUGCACCUGCUUCGCUUUUUGCGGCGGCUGUUUGCCGGCCGAGUCCGAAUCACUACUGUCACCCUGUUGCGUUGUCAAAACUGUCAGGCAAACUUCGCAAAAUCAUCGCCACUUUGAGAGUAUCAUCAAGCUUCUGCCCUACAUUAUCGAGGCGCUCAAACAGCUCGUCCAGCACGACAAGGUGUUUUUCCAUAUCACCACCCUCGAUUAAAUUGAUCGAACACAACCUUUUCAAAAGGGACACUCGCGACGUCAUAUUCGGUUUCUCGUGAUAUGUCUUCAAUGAUUCCCACACUUCUUUCGCACUUUCCUUCUUCUUGAUGAUGCUGAACUGAGAGUCCUCCAAACAGAGCCCAAUCGUCGCGAUGGCUCGUUGGUCAUCACGUUUCCAGUCAUCAUCGUCCGCGUCUUCCGGCUUCCCAUCACUGAUUACACUCCACAGUUCUUCACGAAUCAGCAACAUG
Aedes albopictus (Asian tiger mosquito) is the source of this 688-nucleotide long non-coding RNA. RefSeq lists it as uncharacterized. NCBI's taxonomy places the organism in Eukaryota, Metazoa, Arthropoda, Insecta, Diptera, Culicidae. The record is from RefSeq and is a predicted model, not a curated record. The transcript is spliced from 2 exons.